This 346-nucleotide ribosomal RNA is filed under the name uncultured bacterium. RNAcentral's name for it is "bacterial SSU rRNA". It matches the Rfam family "Bacterial small subunit ribosomal RNA", at positions 1 to 334 of the family's 1533-position model. The record is from RNAcentral.
GUGAGUAGUUCAGAGUUUGAUCCUGGCUCAGGAUGAACGCUAGCGGCAGGCUUAACACAUGCAAGUCGAGGGGCAGCAUAAUGAAGUAGCAAUACUGAAUUGAUGGCGACCGGCGCACGGGUGCGUAACGCGUAUGCAACCUACCCAUAACAGGGGGAUAACACUGAGAAAUUGGUACUAAUACCCCGUAACAUCAUUUGAGGCAUCUCAGAUGGUUGAAAGUUCCGGCGGUUAUGGAUGGGCAUGCGUUGUAUUAGCUAGUUGGUGGGGUAAUGGCUCACCAAGGCGACGAUACAUAGGGGACCGAGAGGUUAACCCCCCACAUUGGUACUGAGACACGGACCAA